This is a long non-coding RNA of Mauremys mutica (yellowpond turtle), 220 nucleotides long. RefSeq lists it as uncharacterized. The record is from RefSeq and is a predicted model, not a curated record. NCBI's taxonomy places the organism in Eukaryota, Metazoa, Chordata, Testudines, Geoemydidae. The transcript has 2 exons.
GGACAUGCUGGCCCCUUCUGGGAGUGCGGAACGGCUGGGGCAGGCAGGGAGCCUGCCUGCGCUGCCGGAGAUCGUGAUCGACUGGGAGAAUCUCCAGGAUCUACUAGUCAAUUGCAAUUGACUGGAAAGAAUCCAGGCCCAUUUGAAGACUCUGAGGGAAGAGAGAGAAAAGCUCCUGGGAUUGAAAGCGACUGGAGAGGGGAAUAGCCAGGAGUAUCUG